GAGUUCUUUGCGAGCUGGGCUGUCACGGCUUCGUCAAUUAAUUUACGCAGGCAGGUAUAAAAUUUCACGAGCUCUGAUAGCCACUUGGUUUAUUGGUGAGCUGCUAACGGUUCAAUCCAGUGAACAACAUGGGCAUUGCUUUUGCUUUCAAUUAGCCAAAAUAAGCUGUCUGCACUCAAGCUUUUGUCUUCACUUUAGAAAUCGAAGUCAGCCUUUUGUUUGUUUGUUGAAACUCCUGUAUGUACCUCAUUUUUUUUAGUGUUGUGUGUGAAAUAGAACCAUUGGGGUCAUUUUACCAAGUGGAUCUCUGAGAUGAAGUGAGAAUUUGCUCAAGUAAUAUACAACAGGAGGCACAAAGACUUGGUGAUA
This is a long non-coding RNA of Panicum virgatum (switchgrass), 369 nucleotides long. RefSeq lists it as uncharacterized. The transcript is spliced from 2 exons. The record is from RefSeq and is a predicted model, not a curated record. NCBI's taxonomy places the organism in Eukaryota, Viridiplantae, Streptophyta, Magnoliopsida, Poales, Poaceae.